GGAGCUUGCUCCGCUGACGAGUGGCGAACGGGUGAGUAAUAUAUCGGAACGUACCAUUCAGUGGGGGGUAACGUAGCGAAAGUUACGCUAAUACCGCAUAUUCUGUGAGCAGGAAAGCAGGGGAUCGCAAGACCUUGCGCUGAUUGAGCGGCCGAUAUCAGAUUAGCUUGUUGGUGAGGUAAAGCUCACCAAGGCGACGAUCUGUAGCGGGUCUGAGAGGAUGAUCCGCCACACUGGAACUGAGACACGGUCCAGACUCCUACGGGAGGCAGCAGUGGGGAAUUUUGGACAAUGGGGGCAACCCUGAUCCAGCCAUGCCGCGUGAGUGAAGAAGGCCUUCGGGUUGUAAAGCUCUUUCAGCCGGGAAGAAAACGCAUGGGUUAAUACCCUGUGUGGGUGACGGUACCGGAAUAAGAAGCACCGGCUAACUACGUGCCAGCAGCCGCGGUAAUACGUAGGGUGCGAGCGUUAAUCGGAAUUACUGGGCGUAAAGCGUGCGCAGGCGGUUUUGUAAGACAGGCGUGAAAUCCCCGGGCUUAACCUGGGAACUGCGUUUGUGACUGCAAGGCUAGAGUACGGCAGAGGGGGGUGGAAUCCCACGUGUAGCAGUGAAAUGCGUAGAGAUGUGGAGGAACACCAAUGGCGAAGGCAGCCCCCUGGGUCGAUACUGACGCUCAUGCACGAAAGCGUGGGUAGCAAACAGGAUUAGAUACCCUGGUAGUCCACGCCCUAAACGAUGUCAACUAGGUGUUGGGAGGGUAAAACCUUUUAGUACCGGAGCUAACGCGUGAAGUUGACCGCCUGGGGAGUACGGCCGCAAGGUUAAAACUCAAAGGAAUUGACGGGGACCCGCACAAGCGGUGGAUGAUGUGGAUUAAUUCGAUGCAACGCGAAAAACCUUACCUACCCUUGGCAUGCCAAGAGCUUUCCAGAGAUGGAUUGGUGCCCGAAAGGGAACUUGGACACAGGUGCUGCAUGGCUGUCGUCAGCUCGUGUCGUGAGAUGUUGGGUUAAGUCCCGCAACGAGCGCAACCCUUGUCGUUAAUUGCCAUCAUUUAGUUGGGCACUUUAACGAGACUGCCGGUGACAAACCGGAGGAAGGUGGGGAUGACGUCAAGUCCUCAUGGCCCUUAUGGGUAGGGCUUCACACGUCAUACAAUGGUCGGUACAAAGGGUCGCCAAGCCGCGAGGUGGAGCCAAUCCCAGAAAGCCGAUCGUAGUCCGGAUCGCAGUCUGCAACUCGACUGCGUGAAGUCGGAAUCGCUAGUAAUCGUGGAUCAGAAUGUCACGGUGAAUACGUUCCCGGGUCUUGUACACACCGCCCGUCACACCAUGGGAGCGGGUUCCGCCAGAAGUAGGUAGCCUAACCGCAAGGAGGGCGCUUACCACGGCGGGGUUCGUGAC
Molecule: ribosomal RNA, 1404 nt
Filed under: metagenome
Description: bacterial SSU rRNA
Rfam family: Bacterial small subunit ribosomal RNA
Source: RNAcentral